RNAcentral lists this ribosomal RNA (253 nucleotides) under uncultured bacterium. RNAcentral's name for it is "partial 16S ribosomal RNA". It matches the Rfam family "Bacterial small subunit ribosomal RNA", at positions 524 to 776 of the family's 1533-position model. The record is from RNAcentral.
UACAGAGGAUGCAAGCGUUAUCCGGAAUCACUGGGCGUAAAGCGCGUGUAGGCGGUCAAAGAAGUUUGGUGUGAAAGCCCUGGGCUCAACCCAGGAAGUGCGCCGAAAACCAUUUGACUAGAGUCUCGGAGGGGAGUGUAGAAUUCCGUGUGUAGAGGUGAAAUUCGUAGAUAUACGGAGGAAUACCGGUGGCGAAGGCGACACUCUGGACGAGAACUGACGCUGAGACGCGAAAGCGUGGGUAGCAAACAGG